AUUGAACGCUGGCGGAAUGCUUUACACAUGCAAGUCGAACGGCAGCACGGGGGCAACCCUGGUGGCGAGUGGCGAACGGGUGAGUAACACAUCGGAACGCGUCCUGUAAUGGGGGAUAACCUGGCGAAAGCCAGGCUAAUACCGCAUACGUCCUGAGGGAGAAAGCGGGGGAUCGCAAGACCUCGCGUUAUAGGAGCGGCUGAUGUCGGAUUAGCUAGUUGGUGGGGUAAAGGCCUACCAAGGCGACGAUCCGUAGCGGGUCUGAGAGGACGGCCCGCCACACUGGGACUGAGACACGGCCCAGACUCCUACGGGUGGCAG
Molecule: ribosomal RNA, 321 nt
Filed under: uncultured Pseudomonadota bacterium
Lineage: Bacteria; Pseudomonadati; Pseudomonadota
Description: bacterial SSU rRNA
Rfam family: Bacterial small subunit ribosomal RNA
Source: RNAcentral